Molecule: ribosomal RNA, 505 nt
Filed under: uncultured bacterium
Lineage: Bacteria
Description: partial 16S ribosomal RNA
Rfam family: Bacterial small subunit ribosomal RNA
Source: RNAcentral
GACGAACGCUGGCGGCGUGCCUAAUACAUGCAAGUAGAACGCACAGUUUAUACCGUAGCUUGCUACACCAUAAACUGUGAGUUGCGAACGGGUGAGUAACGCGUAGGUAACCUGCCUGGUAGCGGGGGAUAACUAUUGGAAACGAUAGCUAAUACCGCAUAAUAUUGAUUAUUGCAUGAUAAUUGAUUGAAAGAUGCUAUUGCAUCACUACCAGAUGGACCUGCGUUGUAUUAGCUAGUAGGUGAGGUAACGGCUCACCUAGGCGACGAUACAUAGCCGACCGGAGAGGGUGAUCGGCCACACUGGGACUGAGACACGGCCCAGACUCCUACGGGAGGCAGCAGUAGGGAAUCUUCGGCAAUGGACGAAAGUCUGACCGAGCAACGCCGCGUGAGUGAAGAAGGUUUUCGGAUCGUAAAGCUCUGUUGUAAGAGAAGAACGGGUGUGAGAGUGGAAAGUUCACACUGUGACGGUAUCUUACCAGAAAGGGACGGCUAACUACGUG